UACGAAUGCUGCAAGCGUAGUUCGGAAUCACUGGGCAUAAAGAGCACGUAGGCGGCCUAUUAAGUCAACUGUGAAAUCCCUCGGCUUAACCGAGGAACUGCAGCUGAUACUGAUAGGCUUGAGUACGGGAGGGGAGAGCGGAAUUCCUGGUGGAGCGGUGAUAUGCAUAGAGAUCAGGAGGAACGCCGGUGGCGAAAGCGGCUCUCUGGACCGUUACUGACGCUGAGGUGCGAAAGCUAGGGGAGCGAACAGG
Molecule: ribosomal RNA, 253 nt
Filed under: uncultured bacterium
Lineage: Bacteria
Description: partial 16S ribosomal RNA
Rfam family: Bacterial small subunit ribosomal RNA
Source: RNAcentral